UUAAGACCAAAAUGUAUUUAACUACUCUUAAUAACUGCGGAUUAUGCAAAUGAUCACUCGUUCUGGCCCACAACGAACUCAUCAAAGUUUAACUUUACUCGAGUCUCUGAUCAUCAAAUUCUUGCGUCCACCGCUGAAGAUUCAAGAUCUUUUCCGUCAAGAAUCUUUAUUUCUUUUUCUGCUCCCAUUUCUAUUCUAACUUUUUUUCGCCUUAUCCAAUUUCUGGAAUCUUCAAAAAGAUAUCUUUAAACCCUUUUCAAUAUACUUGAACAAACUAUCUGUUUUACUUGUUUUUCCAUCUUUUAACUCAUACCCAUUUCGUCUUCUUCUCUCAUCCUGAAGUUGAAGCCAAAGGGAAAUUAUGUCCCGGAAGAUGUGACAGAAGAACUCUUUGACAAAUUCAACCUUUUUUGAGAACCAUAGUUUAGAAGGUGAUUGUUGUUCAUUCUGAAGACAAUGGAAACCAAUGGUAGUAAUUCUCAUUCCCAUGAAAAUCAGACUUCAGA
This is a long non-coding RNA of Pistacia vera, 506 nucleotides long. RefSeq lists it as uncharacterized. The record is from RefSeq and is a predicted model, not a curated record. NCBI's taxonomy places the organism in Eukaryota, Viridiplantae, Streptophyta, Magnoliopsida, Sapindales, Anacardiaceae. The transcript has 3 exons.